UGAGACACGGCCCAGACUCCUACGGGAGGCAGCAGUAGGGAAUCUUGGACAAUGGGGGCAACCCUGAUCCAGCCAUGCCGCGUGCGGGAAGAAGGCCUUCGGGUUGUAAACCGCUGUCAACGAGGAGGAAGUGCGAGAGGGUUCUCCCUCUUGUUUGACCUAUUCGAGAAGGAAGUACGGGCUAAGGUCGUGCCAGCAGCCGCGGUAAG
Molecule: ribosomal RNA, 209 nt
Filed under: Alexandrium tamarense
Lineage: Eukaryota; Dinophyceae; Gonyaulacales; Pyrocystaceae
Description: partial Bacterial small subunit ribosomal RNA
Rfam family: Bacterial small subunit ribosomal RNA
Source: RNAcentral